AUAGGCCUCAUGCUCACUUUCUUUUCUGAAUUAUUUGACACUGAAUAUAGGAUCUCAUGUAUGCUAGCAGGUAUGUAUCUAGACACGAAUGCACACAUACACGCACACACUCAAUUUUUUUAUUUUUAAUUUUUAAUAUGAAAUAUCACUCACUUGCCUCAGCUGGAUUUGAGUUUGGGGUCCUUCUGCCUCACUCUCCACCUGAAUAUAUGGCAUUACAGUCCUGAGCUACCAGGUCUACCUUUUUCUUAAUAAUUUCCAACUUUGCUUCACAGUGAUUCAUUCGGAAGUUCUCUGUGUGCCUUAAGAGUCAGGCUAGUUCUGAAUGAGUUCUCAGGAGAGCAUCUUCAGGCUGCCAAUGAAGACUGGUCACAUUCCUGAGAACUGACUUUCUGCAAAGCCUCCCUCCCGGAGGGCCCAAAUUUAGGACACACGAAGUAAGAAGAGAUGCCUUCUCUGUUGUGCCUGUAAACAUAAGGAACACUAUGCAAAGUUCUGGAAAGAACGGGAAACACUUUUCUGUCAGAACAACAGCUCCAGGUGAAGAGACUGGAGCACAUGGAAGUUUGCAAGAGCAGAGGCAGAGACCUUCACCCUAUGUCUGUGGAUUCAAGAAGUUAUGCGGAACCUGGAUGUUUCCCGUCUAAGUUCCUCUUCCCAUCUUACCACCUGCACAGAAGAAGGAGAAAGGGUUGGGGCAGAGCAAAUAUAAGACUUCAGAACAUUGGGAGUUCAGAGCACAUAUACUUUAGGACAUGUCUAUAGACCAGGCUAUCACAAU
This 781-nucleotide long non-coding RNA is filed under the name Mus pahari (shrew mouse). RNAcentral's name for it is "lncRNA (MGP_PahariEiJ_G0002157.1)". The record is from RNAcentral. Lineage: Eukaryota; Metazoa; Chordata; Mammalia; Rodentia; Muridae.